GUUGGCGAAGGCCCUUGGCCUUAAAGGUUGUUAUUUCGAACUUAUCAAAAUAGUAACCCUUCAUCGUUCGAUGGAGGUCGAACUAUUCUGUUCUUGGUGAAGGCCCUUAGCCUUAAAGGGUGUUAUUUUGAACUUAUCGAAAUAGUAACCUGUCAUCGUUCGAUCGAGGUCGAACUCUUCUUUUUUUGGCGAAGGCCCUUAGCCUUAAAGGGUGUUAUUUCAAAAUUGUCAAAAUAGUAACCCGUCAUCAUUCGAUCGAGGUUGAACUCUUCUCUUUAUGGCGAAGGCCCUUUGCCUUAAAGGGUGUUAUUUCGAACUUAUCGAAAUAGUAACCAGUCGUCAUUCGAUCGAGGUCAAACUCUUCUCUUUUUGGUGAAGGCCCUUGGCCUUAAAGGGUGUUAUUUUGAACUUAUCAAAAUAGUAACCCGUCGUCGUUCGAUCGAGGUCGAACUCUUCUCUUGUUGGCGAAGGCCCUUGGCCUUAAAGGGUGUUAUUUCGAACUUAUCAAAAUAGAAACCCGUCAUCAUUCGUUCGAGAUCAAACUCUUCUCUUUUUGGCGAAGGCCCUUGGCAUUAAAGGGAGUUAUUUCUAACUAAUCAAAGUAGUAACCCGUCGUCGUUCGAUCGAGGUCGAACUCUUCUCUUGUUGGCGAAGGCCCUUGGCCUUAAAUGGUAAUAUUUUGAAGUUAUCAAAAUAGUAAACCGCCGUCGUUCGAUCAAGGUCGAACUCUUCUCUUGUUGGCAAAGGACCUUGGCUUUAAAGGGUGUUAUUUCGAAAUUAUCGAAAUAGUAAUCCGUCAUCAUAUGAUCGAGAUCGAACUCUUAUCUUUUUGGCGAAGGCCCUUGGCCUUAAAAGGUGUUAUUUCGGACUUAUCGAAAUAGUAACCUAUUGUCGUUCGAUCGAAAUCGAUAUCUUCUCUUUUUGGCGAAGGCCCUUGGCCUUAAAGGGUGUUAUUGGGAACUUAUCAAAAUAGUUACCCGUCUUCGUUCGAUCGAGGUCAAACUCCUCUCAUUUUGGCGAAGGCCCUAGGCCUUAAAAGGUGUUAUUUCGAUGUUAUGGAAAUAGUAACCCGUCGUCGUUCUAUCGAGGCCGAACACUUCUCUUACUGGCAAAGGCCCUUGGCCUAAAAGGGUGUUAUUUCGAACUUAUCAAAAAGGUAACCCGUCAUCGUUCUUUCGACGUUGAACUCUUAUCUUUUUGGCGAAGGCCCUUAGCCUUAAAAGGUGUUAUUUCAAACUUGUCAAAUUAGUAACCCGUCGUCAUUCGAUCGAGGUCGAACUCUUCUAUUAAUGGAGAAGGCACUAUGCCUUAAAGGUUGUUAUUUCGAACUUAUCGAAAUAGUAACUCGUCGUCGUUCGAUCGAGGUCGAACUCUUCUCUUUUUGUUGAAGGCCCUUGGCCUUAAAGGAUGUUAUUUCGAACUUAUCGAAAUAGUAAGUCGUCAUCAUUCGAUCGAGGCCGAACUCUUCUCUUUUUGGCGAAGGCCCUUGGCCUUAAAGAGUGUUAUUUCGAAAUUAAAAAAUAGUAACAUGUCGUCAUUCGAUUGAGGUCGAACUCCUCUCCUACUCGCGAAGGCCCUUGGCCUCAAAGUGUGUUAUUUCGAACUUAUCGAAAUAGUAAGUC
Molecule: long non-coding RNA, 1622 nt
Filed under: Nicotiana tabacum (common tobacco)
Lineage: Eukaryota; Viridiplantae; Streptophyta; Magnoliopsida; Solanales; Solanaceae
Description: long non-coding RNA (NTAB_LNC012912)
Source: RNAcentral